Molecule: ribosomal RNA, 388 nt
Filed under: uncultured beta proteobacterium
Lineage: Bacteria; Pseudomonadati; Pseudomonadota; Betaproteobacteria
Description: bacterial SSU rRNA
Rfam family: Bacterial small subunit ribosomal RNA
Source: RNAcentral
GAGUUUGAUCGUGGCUCAGAUUGAACGCUGGCGGAAUGCUUUACACAUGCAAGUCGAGCGGCAGCGCGGGGCAACCUGGCGGCGAGCGGCGAACGGGUGAGUAAUGCAUCGGAACAUGUCCAUGUCGUGGGGGAUAGCCCGGCGAAAGCCGGAUUAAUACCGCAUACGCCCGAGAGGGGAAAGUGGGGACCGCAAGGCCUCACGCGAUUGGUUGGCCGAUGUCCGAUUAGCUAGUUGGCGGGUAAGAGCCCACCAAGGCGAUGAUCGGUAGCUGGUCUGAGAGGAUGAUCAGCCACACUGGGACUGAGACACGGCCCAGACUCCUACGGGAGGCCAGCAGUGGGGAAUUUUGGACAAUGGGGAAACCCUGAUCCAGCCAUUCCGCGUG